This 770-nucleotide ribosomal RNA is filed under the name Bacillus halotolerans. RNAcentral describes it as "bacterial SSU rRNA". It matches the Rfam family "Bacterial small subunit ribosomal RNA", at positions 1 to 764 of the family's 1533-position model. Lineage: Bacteria; Bacillati; Bacillota; Bacilli; Caryophanales; Bacillaceae. The record is from RNAcentral.
AUACAAAUAUUGUAGAUGAACCGCGAUGAAGGCGCCUGCACGGCCAAGUCGACCAAUUUCAGAGUUUGAUUUUCAGGCUCAGAACGAACGCUGGCGGCAGGCUUAACACAUGCAAGUCGAACGGUCUCUUCGGAGGCAGUGGCAGACGGGUGAGUAAUGCAUGGGAAUCUACCGUUCUCUACGGAAUAACUCAGGGAAACUUGUGCUAAUACCGUAUACGCCCUUUUGGGGAAAGAUUUAUCGGAGAAUGAUGAGCCCAUGUUGGAUUAGCUAGUUGGUAGGGUAAAGGCCUACCAAGGCGACGAUCCAUAGCUGGUCUGAGAGGAUGAUCAGCCACACUGGGACUGAGACACGGCCCAGACUCCUACGGGAGGCAGCAGUGGGGAAUAUUGGACAAUGGGCGCAAGCCUGAUCCAGCCAUGCCGCGUGAGUGAUGAAGGCCCUAGGGUUGUAAAGCUCUUUCACCGGUGAAGAUAAUGACGGUAACCGGAGAAGAAGCCCCGGCUAACUUCGUGCCAGCAGCCGCGGUAAUACGAAGGGGGCUAGCGUUGUUCGGAUUUACUGGGCGUAAAGCGCACGUAGGCGGACUUUUAAGUCAGGGGUGAAAUCCCGGGGCUCAACCCCGGAACUGCCUUUGAUACUGGAAGUCUUGAGUAUGGAAGAGGUAAGUGGAAUUGCGAGUGUAGAGGUGAAAUUCGUAGAUAUUCGCAGGAACACCAGUGGCGAAGGCGGCUUACUGGUCCAUUACUGACGCGAGGUCGAGAGCGUCC